GUCUACGGCCAUGCCACCCUGAACGAGCCGGAUCCCGUCUGAUCUCAGAAGCUAAGCAGGGUCCGGCCUGGUUGUUACUUGGGUGGGAGACCAACUAGGAAGACCAGGCGCUGUAGACA
Molecule: ribosomal RNA, 119 nt
Filed under: Pteropus alecto (black flying fox)
Lineage: Eukaryota; Metazoa; Chordata; Mammalia; Chiroptera; Pteropodidae
Source: RNAcentral